This 253-nucleotide ribosomal RNA is filed under the name uncultured bacterium. RNAcentral's name for it is "partial 16S ribosomal RNA". It matches the Rfam family "Bacterial small subunit ribosomal RNA", at positions 524 to 776 of the family's 1533-position model. The record is from RNAcentral.
UACAGAGGGGGCAAGCGUUGUUCGGAAUUACUGGGCGUAAAGGGCGCGUAGGCGGCCUUCUAAGUCGAACGUGAAAUCCCUGGGCUCAACCCAGGAACUGCGUCCGAUACUGGAAGGCUUGAAUCCGGGAGAGGGAUGCGGAAUUCCAGGUGUAGCGGUGAAAUGCGUAGAUAUCUGGAGGAACACCGGUGGCGAAGGCGGCAUCCUGGACCGGUAUUGACGCUGAGGCACGAAGGUCAGGGGAGCAAACGGG